UACGGAGGUGGCUAGCGUUGUUCGGAAUUACUGGGCGUAAAGGGCGCGUAGGCGGCUUUGCAAGUCGGAUGUGAAAGCCCCGGGCUCAACUCGGGAAUUGCAUCCGAAACUGCCUUGCUUGAGUCCUGGAGGGGGUAGUGGAAUUCCCAGUGUAGCGGUGAAAUGCGUAGAUAUUGGGAGGAACACCUGUGGCGAAGGCGGCUACCUGGACAGUGACUGACGCUGAGGCGCGAAAGCUAGGGGAGCGAACGGG
Molecule: ribosomal RNA, 253 nt
Filed under: uncultured bacterium
Lineage: Bacteria
Description: partial 16S ribosomal RNA
Rfam family: Bacterial small subunit ribosomal RNA
Source: RNAcentral